This is a non-coding RNA of Acanthosepion pharaonis, 97 nucleotides long. Lineage: Eukaryota; Metazoa; Mollusca; Cephalopoda; Sepiida; Sepiidae. The record is from the annotation of a GenBank genome assembly.
UUGAAGCACUAAUUCCCAUAUAGUCACUGAAGUUAAGCAACAUUGGGUUUGGCCAGUACUUAGAUGGGUGACUGCUUGGGAAUACCAGGUGCUGUAA